UAUUUGAAUGUGGUGAAGAAUUCAUCUUGAUUGAUUUUAACUUAUGUACAUCAUCAACUCAGGAGUAGUCUGGCCCUUCCAUAAAUCUCUUUGGAAAGUUCACGUGCCUCCAAAAAAAACCAAUACUUUCAUGUGGCUAGGGUUGUUCAUUAGAUUGCAUGCACUGAAAAUCCUUGCCAAGAAGGAUUUAUGGACGGUGCUCCUUAUGCGACUCUAAUACCAAGCCGAUAAACCAACUCCUUGUCUUAUUCUGUUGGU
This 258-nucleotide long non-coding RNA is filed under the name Phoenix dactylifera (date palm). RNAcentral describes it as "long non-coding RNA (PDAC_LNC012803)". Lineage: Eukaryota; Viridiplantae; Streptophyta; Magnoliopsida; Arecales; Arecaceae. The record is from RNAcentral.